Molecule: ribosomal RNA, 405 nt
Filed under: uncultured bacterium
Lineage: Bacteria
Description: partial 16S ribosomal RNA
Rfam family: Bacterial small subunit ribosomal RNA
Source: RNAcentral
AUUGAACGCUGGCGGCAGGCUUAACACAUGCAAGUCGAACGAGUGGCGGACGGGUGAGUAAUGCUUGGGAAUCUGGCUUAGGGAGGGGGAUAACGACGGGAAACUGUCGCUAAUACCGCGUACCAUAGGAUGAGCCCAAGGGGGAUUAGGUAGUUGUUGGGGUAAUGGCCUACCAAGCCGACGAUCUCUAGCUGGACUGAGAGGAUGACCAGCCACCCCGGGACGGAGACCCGGCCCGAACUCCUUCGGGAGGCAGCCUUGGGGAAUAUUGCGCAAUGGGGGCAGCCUGACGCAGCCAUGCCGCGUGAAUGAAGAAGGCCUUCGGGUUGUAAAGUGCUUUCGGUGACGAGGCGUUAAUCACAGAAGAAGCACCGGCUAACUCCGUGCCAGCAGCCGCGGUAAUAC